Molecule: transfer RNA, 71 nt
Filed under: Ariosoma meeki
Lineage: Eukaryota; Metazoa; Chordata; Actinopteri; Anguilliformes; Congridae
Description: tRNA-Gln
Rfam family: tRNA
About the family: Transfer RNA (tRNA) molecules are approximately 80 nucleotides in length.
Source: RNAcentral
UAGGAAGUGGUGUAACGGAAGCGCCAAGAGUUUUGAUCUCUUCAGUAUGGGUUCGAGUCCCUUCUUUCUAA